This 477-nucleotide ribosomal RNA is filed under the name salal root associated fungus UBCtra1011.2. RNAcentral's name for it is "eukaryotic LSU rRNA". It matches the Rfam family "Eukaryotic large subunit ribosomal RNA", at positions 141 to 624 of the family's 3401-position model. The record is from RNAcentral. Lineage: Eukaryota; Fungi; Basidiomycota; Agaricomycetes; Sebacinales; Sebacinaceae.
AGUUGUAAUCUAGAGAAGUGUUUUCCGUCUCGGACCGUGCACAAGUUCCCUGGAACGGGGCGUCAUAGAGGGUGAGAAUCCCGUAUAUGGCACGGACUGCCGAUGCUUUUGUGAUACACUCUCAACGAGUCGAGUUGUUUGGGAAUGCAGCUCAAAAUGGGUGGUAAAUUCCAUCUAAAGCUAAAUAUUGGCGAGAGACCGAUAGCGAACAAGUACCGUGAGGGAAAGAUGAAAAGCACUUUGGAAAGAGAGUGAAACAGUACGUGAAAUUGUUGAAAGGGAAGCGUUUGAAGUCAGUCGUAUCUGGCGGGAUUCAGUCGAGCUUUUGCCCGGUGUACUUCUCGUCCGAUGGGUCAGCAUCAAUUUCGACCGGGGGAAAAAGAUGUGGGGAAUGUGGCUGUCUUCGGGCAGUGUUAUAGCCCCGUGUUGUAUGCCUCGGUCGGGAUUGAGGAACGCAGCGCGCCUAUAGGCCAGGGG